RNAcentral lists this ribosomal RNA (452 nucleotides) under uncultured bacterium. RNAcentral describes it as "bacterial SSU rRNA". It matches the Rfam family "Bacterial small subunit ribosomal RNA", at positions 340 to 785 of the family's 1533-position model. The record is from RNAcentral.
UAUGGGAGGUAGCAGUGGGGAAUAUUGCACAAUGGGCGCAAGCCUGAUGCAGCCAUGCCGCGUGUAUGAAGAAGGCCUUCGGGUUGUAAAGUACUUUCAGUCGUGAGGAAGGUGUUAAGGUUAAUAACCUUAGCAAUUGACGUUAGCGACAGAAGAAGCACCGGCUAACUCCGUGCCAGCAGCCGCGGUAAUACGGAGGGUGCGAGCGUUAAUCGGAAUUACUGGGCGUAAAGGGCACGCAGGCGGUUAAUUAAGUUGGAUGUGAAAUCCCCGGGCUUAACCUGGGAAUGGCAUUCAAGACUGGUUAGCUAGAGUCUUGUAGAGGGGGUAGAAUUCCAUGUGUAGCGGUGAAAUGCGUAGAGAUGUGGAGGAAUACCGGUGGCGAAGGCGGCCCCUGGACAAAGACUGACGCUCAUGUGCGAAAGCGUGGGGAGCAAACAGGGAUUAGAUAC